UCUGAAUCCGUUAAACAGAGGUGGUUCGUU
RNAcentral lists this non-coding RNA (30 nucleotides) under Mus musculus (house mouse). The record is from RNAcentral. Lineage: Eukaryota; Metazoa; Chordata; Mammalia; Rodentia; Muridae.